Long non-coding RNA from Neofelis nebulosa (Clouded leopard), 388 nucleotides. RefSeq lists it as uncharacterized. The transcript has 3 exons. The record is from RefSeq and is a predicted model, not a curated record. NCBI's taxonomy places the organism in Eukaryota, Metazoa, Chordata, Mammalia, Carnivora, Felidae.
GGACCUCGCCCUGCCUGUGCAGUGUCAUGGUAUCCAGAGUGAUUUCUGCAUUUGCUCGGCAUCUCAGAACCACAGAGUCGCCUUCAAACACGAAGGGGGGAGCCUGCAGGAUCAGAGUGAACACGUGUCCUGAGAAGACUCGGAAAGCAGAAAUACCGUAUUGUUGUAAGGAAGUAAACUGGAGGGAAAUGUUAUUAAGAAAAUCAUCAGGAAGAGAAAAUACAUUUACAGUCCUGUCCUGUAGAAAGUCUGCUGGGAAGGGGACCCAUGCAUUUCAACCCCGUGGCAUUCAUGGGUCAGCUGUACCUCUGUCUGUCUGUCUGCCUAUCCAUCUGAAAAAUCCUCAUGCUGCUUAUUAUUCAAAAUAAAUUUUAUAAGUUUGAAACUA